Medicago truncatula (barrel medic) is the source of this 551-nucleotide long non-coding RNA. RefSeq lists it as uncharacterized. The record is from RefSeq and is a predicted model, not a curated record. NCBI's taxonomy places the organism in Eukaryota, Viridiplantae, Streptophyta, Magnoliopsida, Fabales, Fabaceae. The transcript has 2 exons.
UAAUUACCUCGUAAUACGUAAAAAAAAUAAAAAAUAAAAAACCACUUUUCUCUCUCACAUACAGACAAAGUGGCCAUGACAGUAGUAAUAUAACACCAGUCUCAGGUUUCACAUUUCUCUCCUUCUCCCUGUGUUGCUUUGUUCUCUCUGCACAAUACAAAUUUACCAAUCAGUGGCCUUCACACUCCUGCCAUGGCAUUUUCCACACCCACCUCCCCAACUCAUGUUUUCUGCUUUAAAGGUUCGGCAAAACUAAUGGUGCCUGCUGCAAGGUAUCAAUCCUCGCGCGCAACACAUGAAAAAUUUAUUGUCAUUUGACAGUAAUGAAGUUAUGCAUUAAUAUACCUAAAGUUUGGUAUUGGGAAUGAAGCCAUCGGUCCAGAUAGAGUUUAUUUAUUAUUAUGUAUUUAUAUUGAAAUUUUUGUACAUUAUUGAUGUAGUCUUCUGGAUCAAUGAUUUGUUGUACAUCAAUUUGCUAUAUAAAUAGUGAGUUGUUUACAUGUUUUUAGUUUCAAUGCUUUUUGAAUCACAAAGGUAUAUUGCUACUAGCA